Molecule: unclassified non-coding RNA, 431 nt
Filed under: fungal sp.
Lineage: Eukaryota; Fungi
Description: partial internal transcribed spacer region
Rfam family: Eukaryotic small subunit ribosomal RNA (bases 1-46)
Source: RNAcentral
AAGUCGUAACAAGGUCUCCGUAGGUGAACCUGCGGAGGGAUCAUUAACACGUAUCCAAACGUUAUUCAAACCCAAAACGGUCUCCUAUAUUCCCAUGGAGGGAGGUGUCUAGUAAGCCACAGAUGGAUUGGAACUCUUCACGGGGUUCCAUCUGCUUGCAGACUACAGGUCCUUUGAGUCCACCCGAUUCUCCAUGGUGUAUCAAAGCCAUCUGGUUAUUAGUGCCACCCCGGUAUCGACCCGGAGCCUAGUAGCCUUAUUAAUCCCUUAUUUUUAACCCCUUUAUUAUUACAAUAACUACUGACUUAAAAUACUUAAAAAACACUUUAAUGGUGGCAAGAAAGCCCUUUUGGGUAGACUUCCCUAUUUGGGUGCUUUUUUAUGUUUUUACGAAACGCGAACAACUCUUAGCAACGGAUAUCUUGGUUCUC